UUAUCUUUUUCCAUUAAUCAA
RNAcentral lists this non-coding RNA (21 nucleotides) under Caenorhabditis elegans. Lineage: Eukaryota; Metazoa; Nematoda; Chromadorea; Rhabditida; Rhabditidae. The record is from RNAcentral.